This 468-nucleotide ribosomal RNA is filed under the name uncultured bacterium. RNAcentral's name for it is "partial 16S ribosomal RNA". It matches the Rfam family "Bacterial small subunit ribosomal RNA", at positions 28 to 507 of the family's 1533-position model. The record is from RNAcentral.
GACGAACGCUGGCGGCGUGCUUAACACAUGCAAGUCGAACGGAAAGGCCCUGCUUUUGUGGGGUGCUCGAGUGGCGAACGGGUGAGUAACACGUUAGUAACCUGCCCUUUACUUUGGGAUAACUUCAGGAAACUGGGGCUAAUACCGGAUAGGAGCUCCUGCUGCAUGGUUGGGGUUGGAAAGUUUCGGCGGUUGGGGAUGGACUCGCGGCUUAUCAGCUUGUUGGUGGGUUAGUGGCUUACCAAGGCUUUGACGGGUAGCCGGCCUGAGAGGGUGACCGGCCACAUGGGGACUGAGAUACGGCCCAGACUGCUACGGGAGGCAGCAGUGGGGAAUAUUGCAGAAUGGGCGGAAGCCUGAUGCAGCAACGCCGCGUGCGGGAUGACGGCCUUCGGGGUGUAAACCGCUUUCGCCGGUGACGAAGCGUGAGUGACGGUAAUGGGUAAAGAAGCACCGGCUAACUACGUG